This 441-nucleotide ribosomal RNA is filed under the name uncultured bacterium. RNAcentral's name for it is "partial 16S ribosomal RNA". It matches the Rfam family "Bacterial small subunit ribosomal RNA", at positions 338 to 795 of the family's 1533-position model. The record is from RNAcentral.
CCUACGGGAGGCAGCAGUGGGGGAUAUUGCACAAUGGGGGGAACCCUGAUGCAGCGACGCCGCGUGGGUGAAGGAGUGCUUCGGCAUGUAAAGCCCUAUCGGCAGGGAAGAAGCAAGACGGUACCUGACUAAGAAGCCCCGGCUAACUACGUGCCAGCAGCCGCGGUAAUACGUAGGGGGCGAGCGUUAUCCGGAUUCACUGGGUGUAAAGGGAGCGUAGACGGCCAUGCAAGCCAGGGGUGAAAGCCCGGGGCCCAACCCCGGGACUGCCCUUGGCACGGGGCGGCUAGAGUGCGGGAGGGGCAGGCGGAAUUCCUGGUGUAGCGGUGAAAUGCGUAGAUAUCAGGAGGAACACCGGCGGCGAAGGCGGCCUGCUGGACUGCGACUGACGUUGAGGCUCGAAAGCGUGGGGAGCGAACAGGAUUAGAUACCCUGGUAGUC